Molecule: transfer RNA, 72 nt
Filed under: Cryptomonas paramaecium
Lineage: Eukaryota; Cryptophyceae; Cryptomonadales; Cryptomonadaceae
Description: Cryptomonas paramecium tRNA-Thr
Rfam family: tRNA
About the family: Transfer RNA (tRNA) molecules are approximately 80 nucleotides in length.
Source: RNAcentral
UGUCUGUGUAGUCUAGAGGUACGGCGUUUGUCUCGUAAACAAAAAAUCGUGAGUUCGAUUCUCAUUACAGGC